GGUUCCCCAUGUAAUGGCGAAUGAACCGGGAUAAACUCAGCAUGGAAAUUGGGGCCUUUGGCUUUGACUUGUAAUCUGGUGAGGCAUUGCCAACAGAGGCGCAUAUGUAAGUCUCUUGGAAAAGAGCAUCAACGAAGGUGAGAGUCCUGAUUGUCAUGUGCAGCCCCCCUGUGCACGGUGCGCCUUCUAAGAGUCACGUUCCUUGGGAUUGGAGCGCAAAUUGGGUGGUAACUUUCAUCUGAAGUUAAACAAGGGUUUGGGACCGAUAGGAAACAAGUACCAUGAGGGAAAGGUGAAAAGGACUUUGGAAAGAGAGUUAAAAGUGCCUGAAAUUGCUGAAGGGGAAGCGAAUGGAACCAGUAGUGCUGGGUGAGAUUGUCACAUGCUACAAGGAUUGGUUGCUGCCACAACGCAAGUGUGAUGGCAAUUUGUGAAUUGCUAGUGUGUGGUGUGUCUUACCUAGUGGGUCAUUGUAGGUUUAUGCAUUAAGAUAAGUCAAAGCAAGCGGGAGCAAGUUUACGAGUUUGUGAAUGUGUGUUGUUAUGCUUGUGCGUAAGCUUUAAGGUUUGUCUGGCUGCAGGGCUGUCCAUCCUCGAGCUGAGGGUUGCGAUGAGCAUAACCUACUGCGCAGAUCUUG
Molecule: ribosomal RNA, 637 nt
Filed under: Dinophysis caudata
Lineage: Eukaryota; Dinophyceae; Dinophysales; Dinophysaceae
Description: LSU rRNA
Rfam family: Eukaryotic large subunit ribosomal RNA
Source: RNAcentral